GAUGCGCAGCUACCAUGCAGUCGAGCGAACCUUCGGGUUAGCGGCGGACGGGUGAGUAACGCGUGGGAACGUACCCUCUUCUGCGGGAUAGCCACUGGAAACGGUGAGUAAUACCGCAUACGCCCUUCGGGGGAAAGAUUUAUCGGAGGAGGAUCGGCCCGCGUUGGAUUAGGUAGUUGGUGGGGUAAUGGCCUACCAAGCCUACGAUCCAUAGCUGGUUUUAGAGGAUGAUCAGCCACACUGGGACUGAGACACGGCCCAGACUCCUACGGGAGGCAGCAGUGGGGAAUCUUAGACAAUGGGCGCAAGCCUGAUCUAGCCAUGCCGCGUGAGUGACGAAGGCCUUAGGGUCGUAAAGCUCUUUCGCCAGAGAUGAUAAUGACAGUAUCUGGUAAAGAAACCCCGGCUAACUCCGUGCCAGCAGCCGCGGUAAUACGGAGGGGGUUAGCGUUGUUCGGAAUUACUGGGCGUAAAGCGCACGUAGGCGGAUUGGAAAGUUGGGGGUGAAAUCCCAGGGCUCAACCCUGGAACUGCCUCCAAAACUCCCAGUCUGGAGUUCGAGAGAGGUGAGUGGAAUUCCGAGUGUAGAGGUGAAAUUCGUAGAUAUUCGGAGGAACACCAGUGGCGAAGGCGGCUCACUGGCUCGAUACUGACGCUGAG
This 660-nucleotide ribosomal RNA is filed under the name Roseovarius sp. RNAcentral's name for it is "bacterial SSU rRNA". It matches the Rfam family "Bacterial small subunit ribosomal RNA", at positions 41 to 750 of the family's 1533-position model. Lineage: Bacteria; Pseudomonadati; Pseudomonadota; Alphaproteobacteria; Rhodobacterales; Roseobacteraceae. The record is from RNAcentral.